UACGGAGGGUGCGAGCGUUGUCCGGAAUCACUGGGCGUAAAGGGCGCGUAGGUGGCGCGGGAAGUCAACGGUGAAAGUUCGGGGCUCAACCCUGAAUCGGCCGUCGAUACUCCCGGGCUCGAGCGCUGUAGAGGCAGAUGGAAUUCCGGGUGUAGCGGUGGAAUGCGUAGAGAUCCGGAAGAACACCGGUGGCGAAGGCGGUCUGCUGGGCAGUUGCUGACACUGAGGCGCGACAGCGUGGGGAGCAAACAGG
This 253-nucleotide ribosomal RNA is filed under the name uncultured bacterium. RNAcentral's name for it is "partial 16S ribosomal RNA". It matches the Rfam family "Bacterial small subunit ribosomal RNA", at positions 524 to 776 of the family's 1533-position model. The record is from RNAcentral.